Mauremys mutica (yellowpond turtle) is the source of this 611-nucleotide long non-coding RNA. RefSeq lists it as uncharacterized. The record is from RefSeq and is a predicted model, not a curated record. NCBI's taxonomy places the organism in Eukaryota, Metazoa, Chordata, Testudines, Geoemydidae. The transcript has 3 exons.
CUUUCAUUCUGUCUGCCACUGCAAUGAACUCAGAUGACUUACAGAACGGCUUUGUUCUAUCUAAAUAGAGGGCCAGUGCCCUUGUGACAUCCAAGGUGUGUAGGCUGCGCUCCUCAUCUGACGUAUGAGGCUUUGGAAAGAAGAUGGGCCCAGGUUGCAGAAGGUGGAACACACCAGAUCAAGGCUCCUCUGCACUUGUUACCAAGACCUGCCUUUGAUGAGCCAGUCAUCGAGAUACAGGAAGGCCUGGACCCCUCGACGUCUCACACCCUUGACGAGGCUGCCAAGGCCUUGGUGAUGGGGCGGCUGGAACUGCAUCCUUGCAGACUGCAGCAUAUGCUUACCCAGCGAGUGAAGAGUGGCCCAAGUGUCCUUUUAUUCCAUGCAGCCUCGCAUCCAUCUGCUCUGCAAAGUCCAUUCCCAUCAAAUGGGAGGUCCUGGAUCGAGGUCUGCGUCUCUUGGGAUAGGCCAGCGGUCUGAAGCCAAGAGCUGCGCCUCAUGACUACCGCAAGCGACCACCCUAGAUGCUGAGUCUGUUGUGUCCCACACCAUUUGGAGAGAGCAUCUCUCUGCCAUAGUACCUUCCUCCACCAGGAUGCCAAAUUCCUGAG